RNAcentral lists this non-coding RNA (124 nucleotides) under Crystallibacter crystallopoietes. Its description in RNAcentral is "Arthrobacter crystallopoietes SAM-IV sequence". It matches the Rfam family "SAM (S-adenosyl methionine) riboswitch aptamer". From Rfam's summary of the family: SAM-IV is a mRNA element that regulates gene expression via direct sensing of S-adenosylmethionine (SAM or AdoMet). SAM-IV riboswitches share conserved nucleotide positions with the previously described SAM-I riboswitches sequence analysis and molecular recognition experiments suggest that SAM-I and SAM-IV riboswitches share similar ligand binding sites, but have different scaffolds. RNAcentral also lists the same sequence under 1 other name. Lineage: Bacteria; Bacillati; Actinomycetota; Actinomycetes; Micrococcales; Micrococcaceae. The record is from RNAcentral.
CUUCAGGAAUUGCGGCCGCCAAGCUCCGACUUGGCCGCGUACCAACCCCACGCUCUCUGGGUGGUUCGGAUGACGAAGCGGCCUGCAUUCGCCCUCGGGCAAAUGGUGCGGGCAAGAGCACGCG